CGGAGAUGAGCACCGCCCCCUAGAGUCAGGCACAACUGGACUUAACGUCAAGGGGAAACCUUUACCUUUUAUACAUGUCAAGCUUAAAAGUCCUUGGUGUUAGCAUGCUCUGAAUUGGCGCGAUUCCUAACGACGUUAGGAUUUAAAAUUGUCUUUGAAAAUCUUUGCAACUCUUAUUCCCAGGUACAAAGAGAAAUGUUAAGGUUGCGGUAAGCUGUUGCUAUUUGAGGGUUUUCUUAACCAGUGGAACAUGGUUGCCCUUUUGUGCAAGAAGCAAGUCACCCGAUUCGGACUUCAUUGGAGAAAAGAUUCCGUUGUUCCUAAAACCUAUCGCAGUAGAAUGCUCGCUUUUUAAGCAGUUUAUCAAUGCAAUCCUCUUGUGAAAACGCGCGUGCUUUUCGUCCGCUGAAAGGCGUGGUGUGGUGGCGGAGCUUCUCCAUGCAGAAGAGCGGCUGCUGCGGGUGCCGUUGCGAGAGAGGCACGGGGCUGCUGGGUGGUGCACGACGUCACAGGAAGAUCCCCAAGCGGCCCCGCAGCCCACAAAACUCCUUCACGAAAUGGAGCCGGUGUGGGUGGGAGAAGCCCCAGCACACAUCACCUGAAGUUUCAUCACGGAGGGAAAGCCUCGCAAGGUGUUGAAGGCAUCGGAAGGGGGAAUCACACACAUUCCAGUGUGUGGAUGUGAACUUUUAAAGAGGCACUCGUUUCAAGACAUGUGCACUGGUAGUCCUUCGCCCGGAAAACCAAGUGCGGAAACGGCAGCACAGAGAGCAAAAACAUGGUUUGUUUCCAGCCACCUUGCCUCUGGCAGAAAUUUAGGAAGGAACAUGGUUUGGUGACUUUCUUCGUGACGAAAUAAAAAUGUCCACGAGUAAGGCUACAGACCGGCCUCCGGGCAACCCUCUCCACCUGGCAUGCUUUUCCACAGCGGUGGAGCUGGCCCUCCCGCGACGGCGGCCGCGUGACACUAGUUCCUCUGUGAUAAGAGUAAGGAGUAUGUAAAAGGCAAGAGUCCCAUACGACACGUUCAGUUCAGCCAUAGAGUACCAGAAGCAGUUCGGGAAGCACGGACACCCACUUACAGGCCGGAGACCAUCACGCGAAAGGAUGGCGGCACGUGUCUGUGCCGUGGGCUGGCGCCGGGACUCACGCACGGGCUGGUGCAAGUGGCAUCCACCCCUCCUAUCGACGGCAGGUAGGCAUGGUGAAGGAUCGGCAGCUGCAAGGAGAGCCGGCGCUGUAUGCUGUGGAGGCAGAAGGGGAGGAGGCAGGAGAGCGAGGAAGGAGGCGCCCCGGACCGCCCCCGAGGCAUCCUUGCACCUCACGCCCUACAAACCCCGAACGAGGCCGGCGGCUGACCUGGCAGAGGAGGCUGCUCCCUGCCGGAGUGCGCUGGCUCCUAGGUCAGCCUUCCUCUGCCGAUACGCAGCUUUGCUCUUCUGCUUGCUUCACUUGUGCUCAUUUUCAGAGCCAAGGAAGUAACUGCCUGCCGGUUUCCCAGCGGGAUGGGCGAGGUCAGCGCCAUGAAUGCUGGGGCAGGAUUAUGUAACAAAUGACCAGGGAAAGACCACCUCGCUUGGUGAUGGGGCACUGUUGGUGUCACCGCCCAGGGCAGAAAAGUCAAGCCACAAGAAAAAGCCAUCUACUUACUGUUCUGGGGAGUUGAUAUCUUCUAUGAAGUCUUUGCUUGUUCUGGAGGACUCUGUAGUAUUCCAUUGUGCUUGAGGGUUUUGAUCAAGGUGGGUUUUCAAUACAGUCUUUUCGCCAUCUAGGCAAAAGAACAUUAUUCAGACAAGUUGAGAAUGCAUUUUGGAAGUUACACUUGAUCUGCAAAAAACCAGGAGCCAUUUAACGGUCGGUAGUGUUUCUGAGUUAAUCAUUUGUUCUGGAAUGUGUGGGUCACCAAUGAGCCACCAAGGCUCCUACCGCAGCUGAAGAGGAAACAUGUUUUUAAAAUUACUGUUUUAUUUUUUAAUGAAAAGACACAUACAAAAAUUGAACAAGGAAGGAAGAAAUCCAAAGCCAAAUCUAAGAACCAAACAAAGCAUAACAAGAAACGUGCGCGGUGGGGACACGGAGAGGGUUACAACAGAAGAACCUAAUCCACAAGCAAUUGCAAUCUGUCAGUUCCAGUCAUUAAAAUGCCUUGCAGGCACCUCUAGAAAUGGCCAUCUUUAGGGGUAUUUCUUCUUUAUUGUUAUUUUUUAUGUUUUUGCAAACUAAAAAGAAACGAAGACAAAUGAGGAGUGAUGAAAAGAAAAUGUUACCAAGAGACCUUGUCCAAAAAUUACAAGCUAUUUCUUCUUUAAGCUGUUUUUGGAAAUGAAACUUUUUGCAGUAGAAAUACGAGCAGCUUUUCAAUGGAAGACAUUCAUUUUUGCAGAAAUUAACAAACUGGUUGUUUCAGGGCACAGUCUGUGGCGUAGAGAUGGCUGUCUGGCCAGCUACAGGAAAAGCAGAGCUCCCCCCACCCCCUAUGAUUCCAGAAAAUCCCUAAGGUUGCAGGCUUUUCCAGAACUGUCCCUGGAAGAGUGCUGGGCAGGGUGAGGGUCCUGAAGGGGCGAUGCUCCGGUGGGCAAGGGGAGGACAGAGUCAGCCGCCCUCUUUUUGGCACUCCUGCCUUCCAAGGGAUGCUGCCAUCUUCCAACUCUGGAAGGCAACCUUAAACAUCUUGCAAGUAAUUGAGAAGAACAGCAAAAGCUUCAUCAGGGGUCACCAUGACCCCAGCUGUUCAUUAAAUAGUAUCUUUUUAUUUGCUACCCAUCCUUCUGAGCCUUGCAACACAAUUGCUGGAGCACCCUUGUGUUUACUCUUUUCCUAACAACAACUUUCGAGCUGAUCAGACAAGCUUCCUUUGGUAAGAAGUUCUGUAGGUAGGAGUGGUAUCACUUAUUUUCCGUUCUGCCUUCCUAACCAGUUGGGUUUUCUACCAGACACACAGCUGGGAAAGCAGUUCUCUGGGUGAACAGGCAGAGAUCCGAUUUCUUGCACGCAGCAAUGUGCAAAAGUUCACCACUUCCAGCAUUUCCAAAGUACAAAGUGAAUGUGGCAACUGUAACACAAGCAAAGCAUUCCUGUAGGCCGGGAGAAUCCAAGCCAGAGGGUCGUCUGUUUUGCAUUUCUUCCUGAGCUUGUACUAAGAGGUGUGGAGGCAUUUGGCAGGAGUUUUUCCCUCCUCUUUUCAGUUCUGGGAGCGCUUUCUUUAUUCCAUUGGGAGGGAAUUAAACUGCAUCAGCUUCCGAGUUGCCUAGUUUCAUUUCCCUGUGCUCUGGAAGCAUGUAGUGAGGACAGGAGAGCUUUGGAUCCUGCUAAUCUACAGCUCCUCCUGAAAUGAAAGGCCCUAUUAAACUAGAGUUAGGCUGAGCAGCCCUUUAAAAAGAGCCCUUUCAAAACUUCCAUUUGCCAGCCCUUCAAAGAGAGGACUGUCCGCCAUCUUGCCCCUGCCUGCCUUUCAUGUUGUGCCUCUCCCUGGGGAAGCUGCAAUUCCCGACUUGGAAUUCAAUCCACCUCCGGAUCUUUUCCCCCUAAACUCCUCUGUUGCCCCGCAAAGUGACAAUCCGGAUCCUUCUGCCAACAACUGAUUCACAUUCAUUCUCUCCCUUCCAGAAGAAAGCGACUGAAUUAUCGAAGAGCCAAAGUUUUCGAAGUCAGAUGUAUGCUCUGAAACCCUGGUUCGGUUCCAGAUCCCUCAGAUCAAACAGAAUCUGCUUACAAGACUCUGUUGACUUCGCUGCUCCCAGCGGCUUCAAAAUUACCCCUUUCGCAGGCAACGGCCGUUGCUGCUACCUCGGCAGAGGGCCCCUCCCUUCCCUUCUGCCUGUCCUCGUGCACUGGAGUGGCGAGGGCUUUUCAGUCAGCCAGCCAGAGGGUUUUCCGAGAGCUCACGCCGUGUGCACACAGGAAAGGGGGGGCUGCGCUGGGGUGCCCGCUGCACCAGACAAAACCACUUAAGGAUUGGAGGCACAUUUUGGCACACGACUCAGUGACCACAGGAGUGGCCUAAUUCUAGUACUGUACCUGGAGGCUUUUCCCAGUCUCGUGAACGGCAGCCUUGCAUUUCAGAUUUAUUUAAGCAAAAUCCCUGUCCUUUGCCUUGAACCUGCCUCCUCCCACCACCUCCUUCCUGCAAAAGGAGGAGCUGCAGCCUUACCUUCCCCCACUGCAAGCUCCUCCUCCCUAUCUUGCCCCGCCCCCUUGCAGCUCCCUCCCCUCAGUGCCUCUGCUGUUUGUGCCCACCUGCCCUGUAAGCCCCGGAGUGACUUGGUCAUGACACAAGUAGAAACCUUGAGCUGAGUCACUCGUUCUUUGCUCCAGAGUUGAGUCUGAGUCGAGUCGCUUCUGCGACUUGAGUUGGACUUGGGAACGAGUCAUUCAACUCGAGCCGCCAACACUGGAACAAGGUAGAGCAAGUUUUGAAGGCGGAGAAGGGGCCCAGUUCAGAAACCUUUGAGACGCACUGCCCUAAUGGAUCGCUUUCACAUGCAUGCCAUAACACAUCCUACGUAUCGCAUUAAUUUGCACAUGGUCACGUUGCAUGUCGAAGCGGUGAUAUCACAAACGGUACAUCAGCAGCUGUCCUUUCACACAAAAGAGGCAAAGGGGCAACCGAGUUUGCAACACCAAAUCCUUCCCAAGCUCCAUACCUUUGUUUUCUGUAAAGUUGCGUAUACUGAGAAUAUCGUUAAGCUCCUGAUAAUGAUUCUGUUUAAUAUACGUUGUC
Molecule: long non-coding RNA, 4720 nt
Organism: Varanus komodoensis (Komodo dragon)
Lineage: Eukaryota; Metazoa; Chordata; Lepidosauria; Squamata; Varanidae
Exons: 3
Source: RefSeq, a predicted model, not a curated record